UCAUCCCUCCUUAUGAGGUUGACAUGAACAGAGGACCUCCUAUCUGCAGGCUCAAGCUCUUUUGGACACUCCGACUUUCUGAUGCUCUGCAUUUAGAUGUAACAAACUAUUAAGAUCAACACCAAGCCAUAAUGCCUGAGUUAGUUUAGUUGUUGCAGAAAGUUGGAAUGAAAAUGAAGGGAAAAAUAUAUAUGUGCAGGAACUUAAGGUGUAUCUAGCAAAUGAAGGCUAAUAAAAGAUUUUUAAAACAAAUUAUGGUAUAACAUGGAAGGAGAAAUGAAAUGCAGCAUUUAUUUCAUACUCUACAUUUUACAAUACAAAGCACAAGGACAAAACCCUGUCAUUCUGCUCUGUUGCAGCACCUUGUUUGGUGCUUCUGAUUUUCAUCUUUUUAUCAGCAUUUUCCUUUACCUUUUUCAGGGAUGGAAUUGAAUUACCAUUACCUCUAGGAAAGAUGCAUUUUCAGGAUCAUCUAACCUCCUCAAGGGACCAUCAUUCACUGUGAAGCCAUUACUCCAAAAGACAAUGUUGUGAAUAACAGUCUCAGGCUGUUGAGGAGCAGUUGGUACUAAUUCCCCAGAAAGUAAUCUUCCAGUCCCAGUAAAGCUUCUUGAGCUUGAUGAAGGAUUUAUCAUGGGGCCUUCCACUGCUCCCAAUUGCCUAGCUUGAUUGAAAAUUGCAUCCACAUCAUUACCCUUUGAAGGGUCUUGGACAAGCAUCCCACUGCAGACGUUAUUAUUACCAAUGUUAGUCAAUCAUCAUGCAUAUGUUAAAAUAAUAUUAACAUUUGAUUAAUAAGAGCUGAAAUGUAAAGAUGACAUACGUUAGUACAUAUAAUGAAAAAAUUAAGGACAGAGAUCCCUAAUUCAAUAAGCUGUGGGACUAUUUAACUCAGCUUAGCAAGAAAUGUAAAUAAUAAUGAGGCCAACAUAUAAUCUAAUACCCUUGUUACAUGUAGAAAUUUGGGCAUUCCUAUAAGAAACACCUCUCUAGAUUGAUGUAUAUAGAGAAAGAGUGCUGUCUUCAAUGCUCUUGUGUGUAUUAGCCAUACUUAAGCUUCUUACAAUGAAAACUGAUUUUAAAGUACAGUUUCAUAGAAUUUGGAAAACAAAAAGGAAAAUACAGAAAUUUUAAGUGGCAGCGGCUUCUUGCACCAAGAAGACAGAGAGAAUGGAGCAUGCCUCAAUCAAUGUUUAUUCAAGGAUUUCAACUUGCACUUCAUCAGUCUAAGAAUAACUCGUAAAAGGGAACCGUGGUGACAAAUAGACUAUCUGAUGUAUGCAUACUUGACUCACGACAUGUAACGGAUACCAAAUAGCAGAAUUACUAGUUCAUGGUCUGAGCUCAUUACUGGCUCACCUUGACUAACGAUUUGUGGACCAAUAGAAUGUGUGUCAAUUAGGAUCAACAAGUUAGUGCCAACUCCGAGUGAAAUCAUUUGGGGUGUUUUGAAAUAAUAGUUAAAAUUAUGCAGAAACUAGAGUUCCAAUCCCAAGGGAAGGUUUUGUUACUUCUAAUUUCUUUAUACAAGUAAAAGCAGGAGAAGCUAUUGCAAAAAAAUAACCGGUUAGGAAUUCCACAAAGCUGCAUAAAAUAUCCAAGACAAGGUUGCAAUAAAGUUUAGAACAUUAAAAUCUAUCCAGAAGAAAGAAUUAUUGACCAACCAGAAUGCAUAAAAAUAUUAGAGCUGCCAUAUCAGCAAAACUUUCAUUUUACCUCUAAUUUCUUCAUUGAAAUAGAAGGAAGAUAAAGUAAAUACACAACUUGUUAGAAUUCCAAAAAGCUGCACAAAAUAUCCAAAAUAAGUAUGAAAUGCAGUUUCAACCACUAGAAAUCUCCCCAGAAAAGACAAUUGUGAACCAACAGAAUGCAUGGAAGGUACAGUUCACAAAGGUACAAUUAUCUCCCUACCCCUUGGAACCUAGGGGCAUGAUGCAAUCCAAGGCGCAUGCUUGCAUGAAGUGAGGCACAAGCUAGGGUACAUGCGCAAUUUCAUAAAAUACUGUAAAUUUGGCUCUAGUGAGCUUAAAUAGAAGAAAUAAAAACAUAGACAAGGUGUGCUUCCUCAAUAAGGCAUGCCCUUUGCCAGGAGAAGCACCACAGUAGGGCAAUUAGUGGGCCUUGGGCCUAGGUGUGCCUUUAACAACUAUCUUACUAUACAAGAUAUUUGCACCCUUAAUUUCACUCCCAUAAAAUUCAUGAUUGUCAUUCUUCAUGCAACAGUCCAACCACCAGCUACAUCAUUUAAACCAUUACACUUCCAUGUAUUCUUGACUAGCUCCAACAACCAUUUGUUGAUGUUUCCCCUUUCUUUCACUAUUCUCAACAUGUUUUAACUAGGAGGCAGAUGACCACCAAUUAAAUUCUUAGCAGCAGCACACCGUCUGAAUAAAACAUCCAAGCAGUCUCACCAUGUAACUUUCCUCAACUCCAAGGUAAAAUGCAUUCUUUAAGUCUAUAUCUCCCUCGACCUUUCUUUUUCUAGGUUCAAAGCCUCCUGCCUGACUGACCUAGGUCUACUGUUCCCAUGCCCAAUCUUUGAUUCAAAGGUAUGGGUGGUUGGCAAAAAGCAAGAGAUGGAAAAGGUACUCAUUUUGGCAUAGCAUUUUGACCUCAAUUCUGCUUUUUCCACUAUAUUUUGCAUUUCAAAAACAUGUUGGGAUGUCAUUUGGCCAUAUCCUCUAACCCCUUGUUGGGAUUCUUAAUGAAUGCAACUUAACUCCAGAAUACGAUCCCUUGUAAAUCACCUGACAGAAAUCACAUAAAACAGACAGUUUCCUCCCCCCUUCCCCAGUUUUAUCUCAUCCGUAACAUACUUCCAAAGUAGGUACAAUCACUUUGUCCAUUGGAAUCCUAACACAACCAGUGAAACCCAAAAUUUUGGAAUUCAAUCCCUAUGGAAUAAGAAUUUAGCAAAAGAUUUAACAGGAUGAGUGGCAAAUCAAAUAUAUACAAUGAAAUUCUGAUUUUACACUACAGUUCUUUUUCCUUUUUUGGCUGGAAGAUGGAGAGACCUGAACCUGUAUUAAAUCCUAAUUGAAAAGGCAAGAUAACGAAUAGAUAUUAACACACAAGAAGCAAGGUGCAUAAGAGAUAAAAACAUGAACUAAUCCCCAAAAGCCCUAGCAACCAAUGCAUAAAAACAUCAACCAAACCAACACCCCCCAACCCCCAACACAAGGGCAUUAGUUUUUCCCCUAAUCAAUAAGGGGGGGAGGGAAGGGUGUGUGUCUCUCUCUCCCCCUUUCUUUUCCUCCACCGAAAAGAGAAAAAGAAAAAGGGAAAAGAACUCUUUCGAAGCAUACAUUGAACAUGUAGCAUUACCAGACUUCUUCUCAACCCUGGCACUUCAAAAUGAUAGCAAAACUUCAGUCCACUCUAAUUGAGAAGCUGGUUGAAGUCAUAAUACCAGUCUCAUGGAACUUGAGCAUACAAAUCAUGUCAACAAAGAUAAAUCUAAAUUCAGCAAAAAAGGCUUCAGGACCAAUCACCAAAGUUCAAUAAAACUAAUUUGAUCAUCAGUCAUCAAGAUUUCACAAGUUUUCAAGUUAAAAAUUUCCCCAUCAAUUACAGAUCCAACAAAAGUGCUUUGCAUUACUACACUCCAACAUAUGCUUUCACGAGGAGCUUAUGCAAGGGUAACAAUAUCCAACAGCCAUAAACUUAUAAACAACCAAAACUUUAAUUUUAGGUCCAUGGAGAAUCACAAUUCAAAAUUUCAAUACAAUCAACCUUCUGUGAACUGUUAGAUAUGACCAAUGCAACAAAACAUAGGAAAAAGUCCAUGUCAUCAAUUGUAUAUUAAAUCUACAGUAAUUCUGUUGGGGAAAGCACAAGUGAUUAUGGAUUAUACACAAUUUGGGUGGAAAAGCAAUCCAAAACGAAGUUACCAUCCUGAUUGUGCUUAGAGAUGAGUGAAUGAAAUACUCUUCAAUCUUUACCAUAAGAAUUAAUUCAAUUUGGAAAGAAAAGUUAAUGGGUGAUCGCCAAAAGAAGCACCUUGCAAUCAAACCCCCAGGAUUUAGAACCACAACCUAAACCUUUUUUUCUCUAAAAUCUCAAUCCCAAGGUCAAAAAAUUCGGGCCUUUUUCUUCUUCAUGCACCACCGUUUGGUUGCUGAGAAAACAAGUAUCCCCAAAAAAGGUAAACAUCAUCUCAACUCAACCAAACAGGCAACCAUGAAAAACCUAACCCACAAUAAAUAAAUAAAUAAAAUUAAUUUUUUUUUUUUCGUUUCCUUCAAUUUCUCAGCCACCAAACAGGAAAACAAAAAAUCCACAUAGAGAGAGGGAAAAAACUAGGGCUAAAAAGAAACCUCUUCUCGCCACCGGUGUAGUACUCCUGAGGGCCAUCGGAGUCGCUGUCGGAGUCCGGAGCAGUCGGACGAUUCAAAUCGGAGAGGGUUCGAAUGCCACGACUACUGGAGGGCUUCGACGAUUUCUUAUCCCGGGAAGCCAUAGAAGACUCAGAGAAGAUAAUAGCGAAGAGUUGUGAUGCGAUCUGGGGUUUAACCUUUAUGCUUCAGACCAUAUUCCAAGCUACCAAAGUUUAUAUAUAUAUAUAUAUAUUUCUUUUUUUCUUUUUUCUUUUUUCUUUUUCUGAUAUUUUCAUUUUUAAACUUUUUAAAAAUAUUUUAGAUGGAAUAGAGAAUAUUUUUGUUCAGAAAAAAAUUAUAUUCCAUGAUUUUAAAAGGAAAAAAAUUUCAAACUCUCAACUUCAUGUUUCACAAGGAAUAAAUUCAUUAAUUUGAAAAAAAUAUAUUUUAAAAAUAAAUUUUUAGAAUUAUUUUUAAAAGAUAUCUUCGUAAAAGUAUAUUGUCAUAUUUGUAAUGGAAAAAUCUUAAAAUAUUUUUUUAUAUUUUCAACUAUGUUUUAAAAAACACAUUUAGAAACGUAUUUUCAAAAAAUUAUUUUUAAUUCAAAACUUAUUAAACAUGUUUUCUAAAUUAAAAAAAUAUUAAGAUACUGAAAUUAUAUUAAUUUGUUAUAAAAACAUUUUUAAAAUGAAAUUUCUAAAUAUAAAUUCAAUUGCAUAAUAAUAAUAAUAAUAAUAAUUCUAUCCAAUCUCUAAACCCAAAGAUUAAUAAUUAAUAUUAACUCAUUUGUUUUUCUUUUUUUUUAAAAAAAAAAUGGGAGAAUCUUAUAAAAUUCUAAAUAUCCUUUUAAUAUUUAAAACAUAAAAGUUAUGAAAGGAAUCAUCAUCCAUGUUCUAACUUCUAACCAAUCAUCAUCAUCCACAUCUAGCCCGUCGUUCUUUUGAUCUAAUCAUCAUCCACAUCUGUUGCUCUCUUCAUCUAAUCAUGGGAUAAUUUAAAUUAUUCUACAAAUAGAAAAUUAAAUAGGCUUUACAAACCAUAUGGGUCACUCUAUUUCAUAAUCAUUUGAUUGUUACACCUCACAAAAAACCCAAGCUUCUCGGCUUUUCUUUUUAGCAUCUUCACUAAGUUGGGAAAAAAAAUUCUUAGAAAGGGAAAGUGGUAAAUGUAUCGAGAAAUUUACAAAUGAUUUUGGUAAUGUUUCUAUAUUAAACAUGUAUUAAAAUAAAAAUAAAAAUUGAAUUUAUAUUAAGGAUAUAUUUAACAAAAUACUUUUUAUGUAAGUAUAAUAAUAAUUAUUAUUAUUAUUUUUAUUAUUAUUUUAAAUGUAGUUACAUUCCACGAUGAAAGUCAUCUGAAAUGUCUUUUAUAUAGAUUUUGAGGUAGGAAAUUGUUUUUUUAAAAGAUAAUUUCAGUAUUUUUUUUAAAAGAAAAAAAUAUAUUUCUAUGAUAAUUUCAUACAAAAUCAAUUUGCACCAAAAUUGUUUUUUGGAAUAAUAAUUUUCCUAGAAAAAGUUAUUUUCUGUAUGUAUAUAUAUAUAUAUAUAUAUAUAAAUUAAAAAAAAAAACAAAGGGUUUAUAUUGAAACUUGUUUUUUAACCUAUAUAAAACACUAUAUGGAAUGUGUCUUUUGUAAUUUUCUAUGUGAAAAACCAUAUGGAAGGUGUUUUUUAAUUACAUUUCAUGUGGAAAAAUGUUCUUUCAUAAUAUUAUAAAUUCAACAUUUUAUUUUAAAGUAUGAUUAAUUUGAAAAUUAUGCAAAUUAUAUCUUAAAUAAACAACUUCCCUCCCUUUCAAAGGUGCCUAGAGGAAAUGCUAAACGUAUCUUGGUGAAUUUUAAUCUCAAUAAGAAUACUAGUUUUUACUGUUCAUAUGUUAUAAUAUGAAUAUACCACAUAAAUUUGUUAUGUAUAUAAUGAGAUUCCAUUGAUAUGGAGGCAAUUCCAAUAGAUUUAUUAGAGGGUCUCAUUGGCAUGCAUCUAGUAGGAAUUGAACCUAGGAAUUCCCCAAUUAUAAGUUGGGCACUUUAAUCAUUCAACCAUGAAUGUACAAUGGGGAUCCUCAUGCAUGGUGAAUAACCAAAAUCCAAUUGAAAUGAAAUCUUUAUGAUAAAUCAAUGUAAUUUAGAAAUAAUCAAUAAAGCAUCAACCUAGGUGGAUUUGCCAUCGGUAGGAGGACAGGAGAUGGUUAUCGUAGGGCACAUUACGACCUAUAGGUAAUAUGGAUCGACAAACUUAAUAGCAUAUAAUAUCCGUAAUAUAUUGAAGAGGUAACUUCCAAUGCAACCAAAAUUACCUCUAAAACUUUUCUUAAAUAUUUUUUUUUUUAAAUUUGCUGAUGUCAAAGAAAACCCAAGCAACUAAAACUCAUAAUUUGUCUCUUCAAAAGCAAGUAAUAUUUUCAAUUUUUUUUUUCAAAUUACCUUUCAAUUUGAAAUUUUUAUUUAUUUUUAUAAUACUCAUGAUUUAUCUCUUGAAAAGCAGCUAAUUUUGUUUUUUUUCAAAAAAAAAUACAAAUCUUAAAAACCAAGGGUAGAUUAGUACGUAAUUAAAUAUUUUUUAACAUACGAAAAAUAUCUUUACUUUUAAUAGAAAUAUUUUGAAAUAUAAUUCCUAGAUUUUAUCACAAAAAUGGUAACUUCUUAAAGUCAAUAAGUAAUAAUUAAUAAUUGAAUUUGGGUUUGACUACAACCUCGAAUUUAAUGAUACUUUUUCAAUAUUUUUAGAUUUCAUUUAAUUUCAUUAAUUGGACCUUUUUAACCAACUAAAUCUCACAAUACGCCGGAACCUUAAUAAUUUAUUGGAUUAAAGACAGUGGAGAGUGAGUCACCGGAAGUCCCACAGUAAACUUCCCUAUGGCGUAAAGCCAUAUACCAGAAGCUCCGACCCUACCACUCCACUCUCCACCCACUAAUGGACGGUCCAAUCCAACCCAACCGAGGCUCAGGCACCGGCGACAAGCGUCUAAAGUACGCCUUUGACGCCGGCUUCUUAUCGGGCGCCCACCCUCCCGACACGCCCGUCACCGUCGACAGUGACAACAGAGACUCCACAAUUCCCCUCGGUUCCACUUCGGAGAGCUGCGACUCCGCCGACGAAUCGAAGCGGCUGGCGGAUCUAGCCGCGAGCUUCCGAGUUUUCUCGGAGUCGCUGGCGAGGAUGGAGCUGGCGGAGAUGGAGAUGCUCAAGGCGAGGGAGGCGUUCCGGCUCGAAGCGGAGAAGCGGCGGCUGGAAUCCGAGGCGGAGAUGACUCAGAUGCUGUUGCAGACUCAGCUGCAGAUCGCAUCGCUCGUCUCACGGAGUCCGAGCCGGAAACGAAAGCGUGGAGAAGAAGAUGAUCCAUCGAUCUCCGAAAGGUAAGCUCCCGAAUGCCGCUCUGUCUAGAAAGUGGUUGAGCCCGUAACUCGGCCGAGUCACUAACUAUUUUUCAUUAACUGAGUCAAAUGCAGGGAAGGAGGUCUGCUCCUGAGUUUACUGCAGUGCAACUUGCUCCUCUGAUCUCUUGAGGUUCGAAACAUUUAAGUUCAAACUAUGAAAUGUACCUAUAUUUUGAACACUUAGCCUACAAUGGCAGUCCAAUUAUUAUCAGAUAUGAUCUCAAACACAUUUCAACUAACUUCUCAAUAUCAAUUUCUUUUUCAGUCGCUUGUAUGAAUUUAUCUAUAGACCAAUGGAAAACCAAACCUAUCAUGUUUGGUUGUUAUUAUAUGAAUCCAACUACACACCCACCUGGCCUCUGAUGUACCAUAUUCAGCUGAAGGCUAACUGGGGCUGCGUCUGAUUACGGUUAGAUUUUUCGGUUUUCUGGUCUGCAAUGCUGAGUAGAGUAUUCGCCCGGGUUUUAGCACUUUCAAUGUACACUUGAAUGGGGGGUAGAAUCACUUGGUCUCCAUCCUUUGGGGCUUGGCCUCGAAUCACCUAUUGGAUUGAUCAACUAGGGUUUAUUACCAAUACUACGGCAUGAAGAAAGCAAAGAUCAAAGAGAUAGCCAUUACUCAUUACCUUCGAUGCCCAAUGCCGCUCUGCUUGUUGACAGAUGUCCCUGAUAUCCCUUCCAGACAUGCUGGAUACAAUACAUGACGAUAGUAGGGUAAGAAAUUCGCCCAUCCCAAUUAAAGUAAUAGUCUAGCAUAAUAAAUUUGCAUAUGAGAAAAAAAUGAUGGGUUAGGAAUGGAACGGUGAAUUCUAUUCAUUCAAGCAGUUCCGGUUUUUGAGUAAGGGAUUUAGGUGGCCUCAUCUAUUGUUGUGGAACUUACCCUUCUGUUGCUGUGGCAAAUUCAACUAAUUCGGACUCUGUCAGAUGCUUUGCAAACUGAGCUGCUAUUUUCUGACGAUCAUGGUUGUCAGGUAGGCCAAAGGUGAUCAUCGAAUCAAACCGACUGAAUGAAAACACAUCAAACAUGUUAGAGAACACCCCACCAGCAUACAACUCUUGUAAACAUGUUCAACUAUAUACCUCAUCAGAGCAGGAUCAAGGUCUUGCUUUCUAUUUGUUGCUGCAAUUACCACCACUUUUUUAUCCUGCUCAAAUCCAUCAAUCUUCGCCAAAAAAAAAAAGGAGUUUUAUUUAAGGCGCUACAAUAGCUAGAUCAACCUUAAAAAAGAAAUUAAUCCCUAAUUUUACAUGAGAGUCGGGUACACAAGGAAAUGCAUAGCUACAAAAACUGGAUGAAUGGUCUGCAAAAACUUUGCAGAAUAUGGCUACAAAAAAUCCCAGUUCUCUUUGUACCGCUGAGAGCUUGGAAUUGUGCACAAGAAGUGCUCACAGGUAAGGAAAUCUAAGAUGCAGUCUCCAGCAUUUGAGGUAAAUAACUGGGAACAACCAGCCAACAUGUGUGCAUCUGUUCUGUAUAAAGGUCUACUGAAUGCUUUCCAGUACAAAUUGGAAAUCAAACAUAAAGGAUAUUUCGAUGACAGGGGGAAGUACUAGACAAAUACAUAUUGAACCGUAAUAACACUUUUCCUAUGGCGUUUCAAAUAAUUAUUUGGAAGCCCCCAAGGCCUGGCUCAAGUGGUAACCGGGUUGGGAUGGCCAUGAAAAGGUUCAGGUUCCAUUCCAUGAGCCUAAAAAAGUGAUCAUAAAAACUGUAUAUACAAGUACAAUUCACCUGUCGCAAUAUCACUGAUAAAAUUCUUCGGGUAGCCUCAUGCAUUUCUCGACUACGAGAAACAGCAAAAGAAUCAACCUGUAGAAGUUUUAAGCGGGAGUCAAGAUUACUGAGAAAGUUCAAUUGAUGUGACUGCAUGUAGAAUGUAAGACGAGCGCUUGCACUAUUAUGAAAAAUCUUUCAGAAAAGAAAUGGCUUAAAGGUAAAUAGAUGUUUCUUCAAUACAUUUUGGAAAACACCUCUGGGAAGGAAUUAGUUGCAUCAAUUACCUCAUCUAGAAAAACAAUGGCACCUUCUGGGAACUCAUUGGCAUGCACAAACACUUUCCCUAGCAAGCGCUCACUUUCACCAUAGUACUUUGACAUAAUAGACUCCAGUGGCAGGUAAACCAAUGGCACACCCUGCCAUGUAAUAGCACAUAUUAAUUAUUUUAGUCAACCACACAUACUAAUAAUCUUAUAGAGAUGCAGAAAAUACACAAACAAAGAAAUUUAUUUUAUUUGGAAGCUAAAGAUUUUAAGGGAGCACAAUACUUUUUUCUGCAUAAAUCCACACAUCAACAAAUACAGCAAGCAUUCCCACAAUGCAAUGUUAGCCUUAUUUGCAGUUGCAGAACAAAAGCACAGAUGCUGCUUGCUGCAUAUUCAGGGGACUCAUUGCAGGUUCAACAAUAGCAUGCAUUGUUCUUGUGUUCCCUUUUUUUUUUCCUUGUUUUUCCUUUUUUAAAGGCAAGUGUCAGUAGUGAUGUCUUCUUCAGAUUAUGAAAAUGCACCAAAAAUAUAUGACCAGGCAGGAAUAUGUAAAUAGGACCCAAAAGGUAACCACUAAGAUCGUUGAAAAGGUUCCCUAGGCAAAACCCCAGCAGAGGAACAAAAGAUCUCAGAUAAGGGCAUGUAAAAAGCAGUUCCCAGAGGGAGAUCAUGGCAUCUGGCAAUUGUAUGCCUGUAAAAAAAGAAAGGCAUCCGGCCAUUGUAUAAAAAUCCCAAAUUUACCAAGCUAAUCAAUAAAUGAUGCUACCAUCAAGUUGAAGAUUUUUCUAACUAGUAACUUAGGACAACAGUUAUAAAAAAUUAAUAGAUCAAAAACUAUAUUCAGUCAAAUGAUAAGAAUUUGAACAAAGAAAAUUACAAAACCUUCAGACCCAAGCAAGAAUUUAAAUUUUCAAUCCUAUUUCCAUAACAAGGUUCAUCAUAAAAUAGCAGUCAAACAUAGAAAGUGUAUAUACGUGGCAUUUGAUAAAGAUAAAAAAAUAUAUAUAUAAAGGUUCAGUAUGAAACAAAUAAAACAACUAAUGAGGUUGUCAUUUAAGUGCACAGUAGCUUACUGCUUGAUUAGCAAUUACACGAGCACAAGACGUCUUCCCUGUACCUGAAGGCAAACAUAUACUAUGAGUAAGCUUAUGCAACCUCUCAGACAAACUGAACUCCGGGCCAAAAACUAGAAGCAUUGACUCCAUUUUCACUCCAGUUGAAUUCCAAAUGCAUGAAAGACAGUUCCAAAACAACAGUAUGCAAUGCUUACAGAAUCAUAUGAUCAACAUCAUUGCAUCAUGUUAAGCCUCACCAUACAAAAACCAACAAAAGUCUGAAUUACCUUGAGGUUUUUAUGCAGAAUGAAAGGCAAGCUACAGUUUGCAGUUAAAGUUUGCCCUUGUUGCUUUUAUUCAAGUUCCAUAGUUCCCAAUACUAAUAUGAAGGGCAAACAAACAAUUAUCUUCACUAAUAAUAAUAUUAAGCGAUGAACAUUCUGAUAUGGAUAUAUCAUAAUAGUGAGAAUAAUUUACCAAAAAGUCAAGCAACAAAAACAAUCAGUUUAGUGUAACAGGAGCACAUGAAAGGCAAGGCCAUUCAAAAAACCAAAUAAUACAGAAGCACUAAAUUAUAUCCUUCCUCCUAACUGAAUCUUGUGCAUGAGGCUGGGUUCUUCUUCAAUCCAAAGAUUGCUAGACUGAGGCCAGAACUAAGCCAAUUUGUCAAUCCCUUGUUUUAAGUGUGUACCAGCCAUGGGCUACGUCCUGUCAUCAUCUUCUGCUUGGUGGUUGCAGAAAUCUAACCUCAAGACAAAGUGGUUCUUACUAUAUUCAAAUUNNNNNNNNNNNNNNNNNNNNNNNNNNNNNNNNNNNNNNNNNNNNNNNNNNNNNNNNNNNNNNNNNNNNNNNNNNNNNNNNNNNNNNNNNNNNNNNNNNNNGUUCAAAGUUUUUUCAAAAUAAAUUCUCAAGCUGUCAUCAGACUCAUCAGUCAUCACAACCAGAUGUCACAGCAAUCAAUAACCAUGGAUACCCUUUUUAAACUAAGGUUUAUAUCUGUAGUUCAUGUGAUUCAGGUUAUUGAAAAGCAAACCCCUUUUCAGUAUUAUACAUUUAUUUCUUUAGCAAAAGACAAUGGUACCGAAAUUGAUACCAAAGCAAACAUGUAAUCUAGACCAUUUAAGUACACCAUGAAAUCUUAAUCAUUAAAGGAUAAUACAAAAAAUAAGAUUAAAAUAAAAAAAUUAAAUCAACUAUGAAAAAAAUAAGAUUUAGGUAUUAAAUAAAGAAAUCCAUUCAUAUACACGACAAUUUGUGAUCAAUCGAUUAUCUUUUCAACAUAAUUUAUGAUUAAUCAAUUAUCUUUUCCACGUUUAGGAAUGACUUGUUUGUUUAUUUAUACCUUGCACAUUCCUAUUAUGGGUGUGGAAACAUAAUUAUCUUUGGACACUUCCUUAAUCCCACACAUACCCACAAACCACCACCUUUUUUUCUCUCCUCUCUCGGCACUUCAACGAGAGGGAAGGUUAGAUGCUUGGUCCUAAUCAACAUAGAGUGCUCAUUAGUUAUAAUGCACUCUGAUGGCAUUAUUUUUUCAUACCUUAGCUAUUGUCUCUUAUGUCAAAAAGCAAUGCUAAAUUUAUCCAAGCUGCUUUUUCUAUGUAUGGGCUUCCUUUUCCACAGACUAACCAUCGGAUAUUUGGCCAGUAAUAGCAUUGAAGAAAAAAAAAAAAGCCAACUUUUUUUUUGAAAGACGAUUUAGUUUCAAAAUGUUCCAAGCAACCUGUAUCUUUAAGAGACUAUUUUAAUAUAAGAUAAAUGAUUUUUAUUAAGUUCUUAUAGUGCAAAGAUUGAAACUGUUUUUUACAACUUUUUUUUUGAACCCCUCAAAUAUCCCUAGACGACCAAUAUGAUUGUGGUUUAAUAUUUUUAGAUCUGAAUUCUAAAGAAUUAAUCAAUCAAAUCCUCAUGAAUGAUGCAAAUUCAUAUUACAUUUGAAGCCUGUCACCCCCCUUUACACUUUACUUCAAACGUCAUCUAAAUUCUAAAGAUGAAGAAGAAACAAGAUAUGAUUUAAUGUGGGCUCACAUGCAUGCAAGGAAUCCAAUGAUGGAUUUCAGCCAGAAAAAAAAAAAGGGGGGGAGAUCUAGCUCAGGACACAUUGAAUGAGUUUCCGGGUCUAGACAUCCACAUGUUGAGAAGGCAUGGCUUCAAUUACAGUUGCCCAAAACAUCAAAAUUGCAGAAGUAAAACAAUCUCCCAUAAUGGUAAACAACCAGCAUACUCUUACACCACUGGAUGUUUAGAAUGAUAUUUCAUGUGAUGAUCAUGUUCUAUGAGCAAGUCAGCCUAAAUGGUUAUUCAAUAAUACAUGGAUUAUGGAUGUGGAUGGUUUAAUUAGUCGAUUCGGUUUUGGAUAUUAAAAUCUAAUUGAAUCAAUCUAAUCGGUGUUUAUGCAUUAAGAAUCAAACUAAUUAAACUUAGGGAGGAAAUUUAUCGGUUCCUAAGUCUGUUUACUUCGUUAAUUGAUACUUUUUGUUAAUUUCGACUAGAACCAAAAAACUUAAAUAAUAGUAUUAUAACAAUUUAUCUUAUGAUUUGUUUUUUUAUUACAUUAAUACACCCAUUUCAAAUUAUAUUAUUGUAACCCAAUGUUAUGAAUAGCUAUUGUGAUUUUCUCUCUAUCAACUAUAUAUUAAGCAUGGUUUGGAAUCAUGUGAAAAAUAUGGAAUAAAUUAAUAAUAUGACCGAUAAAAGUUAUAAACCUUUGGUUUUUUAUGUUUAACUUUUGGUUCGGCUUGGUUUCUCAUCAAUUUUUAAAAUAACAAAUGGUGAUUCCUAGAAUCUGCAUCAAGGGUGCUUAUACCUGAUCAUGACUUUGCAGUAUCACACAGAGAUUUGGAUCUGCUGUUCUAAUACAUGGCUGUGAAAGUUUUUCAGUUGCUUCACAUCAACAUACCAGAAGUUACAACCUUACAAAGAAAAAUUGCUACCUUUUUUGAAGAACAUACCAGUUAUGAAUUCCAUUGUGUUAAAACUCACAAAUUUUCUAAAAGACUUAAAAAAUGAUUGGGAAUAAACUGUAGAAGAAGCUAAUAAGUAUAUAAUAUUCUUUUUGGAUGGAAAUGACAUAAGGGUGCAAUAAUACCACUCUUAAACCUAAGGAUGGGUCAUGAUGACUUUUAGAAUAGCUUAUAAGAUAUGAUUUCAAAUAUCAUAAAAGGUUUGACCUAAUUUUACUAACCAUCAAUUACUUUUCAAAUGAGAUAAUCAAAGUUCGAUUCAAUAAUUGGUAUCAGAACUAAGGUUUAUGGGUUCGAGUCAUAGAAAGGAUUAUUAUGAUGCAAAAAUGUUGCUCUUAAACCCGAAAAUGGAUCACCCAAAUAAUGACUUUUAGAAUAAGUUUGUAAAUUGUGAUGUCAAAUGCCAUAAAAGAUUUUGCUCAUCCUCAUCAACUACAAAUUAGUUUUCAAAUGAAAUAUUAAUCAUAAUUCUAAUAUUACUAUAAGUUAUGAAGUUUUAAAACUAUCAGGAUAUGAACUCAGCAGGUGAUAGUUUUAUUAGCUAUAUUGGAAUGUAAAAGGAAUAUGGUUUAAUGUUAUAAAUAGAUAAACAUUGAUGGACUUUGUCCUGGAAGAGAUGAAGGUCCAAGGUUUAUGAAUUUCAUACUUGUUAAUGGUACGAUAGUGGUAUAGUGGUGCUAUCAAAUUAAUGGGAUAAUGAAGUAGGAUUCAUUGGACGAGAGGGAAAAAUCUUCAAAAAAAGGAAAAAAAAAAGCGACGGGUAUUUCAAAAUGCUUAUCUAAAUUGUUUCUGAUCAUGAAUACAACUCACUAAUUUGGACACACUAAAAGAAGCCAUUAUGCAAAUCUUGUUGGUGAACAGUCUAAAAGAAGUCUUGGUAUCAACCAGGCAAAGGGGGUCAUACUUACAAUCAAAUCAUGGAGUCAACUUGUAAGUUAACUCUCAUCAAUAUCCCGAUUGGAGAAACACCAAAAUACCCUGAAAAUGGUGGGUCCAAAAUGUCCCUUUCAAGGCGUGUGUACACCACAUAAGAGAAUUGAAGGCCCCCACUAUCUGACUAUCCUCCAUUAAUGCAGGCCAAGCCCCUAAUUAUUUAGCAGGACUCCCUCAAAACAAGUUGGAUGGCACCUCGCUGGCCAGUUGUUUCGAGAUGGGUAUGCGGUGAAAUAUCAAUAAUAAAUAAUAAUGCAGUGUGUUUUUCACUGCUCAUUCACUUACAACUUACAAGUUUGAAUAAACAGGACUUUGCUUUUCCAUAAACAGAUAGCCUGUCCUGUGUUCCAUGUUCCAUGAGUGGCUUUUGUAUUUUGUCUCUUUGACAUGACUCCCCUUUCCCCUUGCAUCUUUAUUGAGUGAUUGCUCCACUGUGUAUAUAAUAAUAUUGAUGAGAACUGCCUCUUCUCUUGAGGGACUUGUAACUGAUUUAUGGUAAGGGGGGUAGUGUUUGUUGUGUGGCCCACACAUGAGUGAUGAAAACCCCUUUGAUGGGCCAAACUCUAGAGAGAAAGAGAAAAAAUCUUUGAAAUGGUAGGAUUAAUAGUUGUUUUUUGGCCGACAAUGUGUUGCUUUUUCUUGUCUAAUCCAUGGCACUAUGAAUGGAGAAGAACUAUUGCCAUCGAGAUGAUUUGGGACUAAGACGUUGGGGUAGCCUGAUUUCGUACCUUCUCUCCAAAUCACCUUUUAUUUGAGUAAAGAGGGAAAGUUUUUAGAGAGACCAAGGGGUAUCUACAAAACUAUGAAAUUAGAUGGAAGUUCUUAGGAUUAAGUAGAGGAUUUCUAAAGAAUUUUGUACAUAAUUUAUUUGUAAGUAAUAUGGAGUAUCCUAAAAUUGUGAGAAAUCAUUAAUAGUUCUAUAGAUGUAGCCAAGGCACCUAGUGCUCGCAAACUUCCAUAGUCUUGUAUAGCAUUUUUAUGUAAUGCAAACUUUUAUUCUUCUAAAACUCUAUGUAUUGUCUCUUUUGCUCAUUUUUAGUUUCUAUGUCACAUAAUAUUUAUUGUCAUUGCAAGUUAAGCUUAGGAAAUGUUGAUUUGAUAACUUCAAGCAUCUUAAGUUGUCUAAGUGUAGCGUAGUUGUUAGGAAAUAUCUAAGUUUGUAAUAAGUGGUAUUAGAACAUAGUUGCAAGGAGGGCAUUGCAACAAAGGAAGAAUGUCAAACUCUAACAUUAAUAAAAUGACUAAUGAUCAAUAAGCUUGUGAGAAGGAGACCAAUCUUAUCACACGUGGAGGAAGGAAUGAUAAGUCUCUUGACGUUGUUACAAACAUCAAAUCAAGGCUAGCCAAGGUGGAGCAAGCCACAACUUGAUGGAGCAAAGGAUAGAAAAUUGUCUAAUGGAUCUAAGGGAAUAGAUCCAAAAGCUCAUAGAUGGAGUGCUACAUUCACAAGUUCAACUAGUAUCACAUGGGAAACUUAUGUCCUUCCAAGCUAAUGUAAUGAACAUGCUUUCAAGCCUAGAGUCAAAACGAUGUGGCAACACGUAUAUAGAUGUGUGAUGUGGAGAAUUCUCAUGAGAUGAUCACCUAGAAGACUAUAGUUUUUGCCUGUGCAAUGGCCACUCAUGAGACACUUAAGGUGGAAGUGUCAAAACUAAAUGCCUUUAAUGGCAAGUGGGAUAUUAAAGAGCUAGACAACUUUUUGUGGCAUAUGAAGUGGUAUUUUGAGGUAAUAGUACUGAAUGACAAUAUUUGUUAGAAUCCUAGUUAUACUAAUCUAAGACAAUCACCUAAGAGGGAGGUGAAUAGGGUGAAUGUUCCUUUUUACAAAAUCAAACUUAGAAUUCAAGUGGCAAUUUUAUAUAAUAAUAAAACAAGUAUAAUAUGUCUUAGGUAAAGAAAGUAUAUAAAAUUGUGUGAAUGUCUUAGAUAACUCGACCUAUAUCCACUCAUCUCAAACUCUUAAUCAAGUGAGAGUUCCACUAACAAAGCUUCCAAACUCAAGCAUUCUGAUUGAAACCAAAAUAUGUGUUCUAAUAGCAUAUAUAUAAUAUGAUUUAUGCAAUAUAAAAAACUCAAAUCAUCUAACUUAAUUUUGAUCAAUUAUAAAACCCUAGUUAUGGAUUUAACUUUUUGAACCUAAUUCCAAGUUUAAGAGAUUAAAAAAAAUUAUAAGUGCAAAAGUCAUUAUCAACCAAGGAAAUAAAAGGGGUUAAACAUGCAUAAUUAAGAGACUUGAGACUUAUGAACCAUGAAGAUUCCAAGUAAGGGUGUGAUGAGUAACUCAUAGGCAUGAAAUACUAGCAAUGGAUGUUGAGUGAAAUAUGGGGCAAGCAACCAUAAUGGAAAAGGUUUGAAGCAAAUGUAAUCAAGUUCACAUGGAAAUUUGGAACUUAAAAUAUAGCAAUAGUACAUACUUUGACUUUUAAGGUAAAAUUUAGAGUACUUUCCAUGGUCAAUUUUGGGUAAGUUAUAUAUCGUUUCAAAGUUCGGGAAGUCAAAAGUCUAACGCUUUAAAUAAUGUAUAAAUCGGAACUAAAACGAAUAAGUUAUGCUCGUUUGAAAACAACUACGCAAAGGUAAAUGACCAUUUUGAAAUUCAACUUAUAUAUAAAUUCGAAAUCCAUUUCAAAAUUGCCUCAAUUUUGAAAUCACAUACUAUGACAUUGAUGUUUCACCUCCUCUACUUCAGGAAUUACAUAUUAGGCACUUCAUCUGCCUUAAGUGGGUCUCACACGACUAGACAUCGUGAUUUUAUUUUUUAUUUUUAGUCAUUUUUAGGUAAUUAUUUUUAAAAUAAGUGGUCAAUAGGAACAUGUCAUGUGUUAGGUUGUUUUGUGGAAACUAUAAAAACUCAAUUUUUAGGUUUUCUAAAGAGUUUUGAUUGUUUUUAGAUUGGAGAGAAGAAGAUGAAGUUAGGAUAUUGGUUUGUUCUCUUUUUCAUUAUUAUUAAUUAAUAUAUUAUUUUUUAUUUCCUUAAUUUUCAAGAAUGGUUCUUUAUCUUUCUUUAAUGAAUUGUGCUUGUGAAAACACACCCAUGAGAGAUUAAAGAGUUUUCUUAGGGUGUCAAGCAUGAAAACCUAGGGUUAAGGUUUAUAAGGAAACAAUGGGAAAUUGAACUCAAUAAUGGAAUGAAUGAUUGGUUAAAGGUAUAAUUAAUGAGAAUUGAGAUGCUUUCCAAGAUCGGUUUGAAUUAGGGGGUGGUUGUAACGAUCUACAUCCAAUCGUGUUGAUAUUGUUCGCUUUUGAUCCAAAGGGAUCCCCACAACUUUAAAACGCGUUUCGGAGUUUAGAAAUGGUUGUUCAGAAUGUGAGUCUAGUAUUUAUAUUUUAAUUAUUAAUUAUUUAUUUACUUUACUUGUAUUUUUAAUUUUUAAUUUUUAAUUAUUUAUUUACUUAUUUUAAGCCCAAGCCCAUAAUCAAAUAUUAAAAUCUUUUGGGCUUAGGUUGGUGCUACCAUUAUUUAAUCGACUCAACCAGUUGAGGUUUAGCCUCGAUCUAUUGAGGCUUAGCCUAAAUUGAUCGAAGCUUAACCUAAACUAAUUGAAAUAAGGUUCUACCAAUUUUAGGCAUUUUUACUCCCUUAAUCAAUUGAGCCUAAUCAACUCAACUAUUUCCCUUGUACCUUAAUCGGUUACAUUGAAAACAUAUAUUUAAGAUCAAAUCAAGGUUGAGAAACCUCAACUAAUAGUUCCUCAAUGUUUAAAAAACUUUUAAAAAUAUUUUAACUAUAUUAAAACUUAGGGUAUUUUCUCAAAUCAAAAUUUUUUUAAUCCAAUUUAUAAAAGAAUUCAAAACAAUUUAAUACUUGGAUAAUUUUAGUUGCUUAAGUAAAAAUGAAGUGUAUGACCUUAAUGCACCAACAACCUUAUAAAGAAAUCCCAGAGAAAUAGUCUUGAAUUGAUAUUCUCUUUGAGGUUUUCUCAUUCUUCUUAAUUUUCUUUCAACUUAAUUUAUCUUUGUGAUUAUCACUUUGAAAUCUUCUUGUCUAAGUACACUUAGAAUAAAUCAUUAAUUUCAAACCUUAUUUUAUCAUCAUCAAAACUAAGAUUAACCAAACCCUAGUUUCACAAGACUACCAAGAUUCAUAUCACAGUUCUCUAACUUCUUGAUAUUGUUACUCUAUGGUAGCACUAAAGGUUUGUCAAUGUAGACCUAUAUUAAGACUUGUCUUGUGUGCCAAUAAGAUUAGGUGGAACAACAAUUACCUAGAAGACUAUUAGAUCCACGCCCAAGUGACCAUGGGAAAGCUUCACCUUGGAUUUUUUUAUUGAGUUGCCUAAGUCAAAAUGCUAUGACUCAAUCAUUGUGGUGGUGGAUUGGUGCUCUAAGUAUGUAACAUUCAUAGUAGACCCUAUAAAUUGCAAUGUGGAGAAGAAAACAAAGUUGUUCCUUCAAUAUGGAAAAGUAUUAUGGGUUGUCAAGGUACAUUAUCAAUGUCCAUGACUUGUGCUUCCCUAGAAAGUUUUGGAUGAAGCUUUUCAAGACGAUAAGGUUAGAGAUUCACUGUUUUACUAGUUUUCAUCCAUAGAUAGAUGGAAAAACAGAGAGGGCGAAUGCCUUACAAGAACUGCACUUAAGGNNNNNNNNNNNNNNNNNNNNNNNNNNNNNNNNNNNNNNNNNNNNNNNNNNNNNNNNNNNNNNNNNNNNNNNNNNNNNNNNNNNNNNNNNNNNNNNNNNNNNNNNNNNNNNNNNNNNNNNNNNNNNNNNNNNNNNNNNNNNNNNNNNNNNNNNNNNNNNNNNNNNNNNNNNNNNNNNNNNNNNNNNNNNNNNNNNNNNNNNNNNNNNNNNNNNNNNNNNNNNNNNNNNNNNNNNNNNNNNNNNNNNNNNNNNNNNNNNNNNNNNNNNNNNNNNNNNNNNNNNNNNNNNNNNNNNNNNNNNNNNNNNNNNNNNNNNNNNNNNNNNNNNNNNNNNNNNNNNNNNNNNNNNNNNNNNNNNNNNNNNNNNNNNNNNNNNNNNNNNNNNNNNNNNNNNNNNNNNNNNNNNNNNNNNNNNNNNNNNNNNNNNNNNNNNNNNNNNNNNNNNNNNNNNNNNNNNNNNNNNNAUGAAGGCACGGAUGUCGGUGAUGGUAUGGUGGUAGUUGAAGUGAGCAAUCAUGCGGGUUCCAUCAGACAACCUGAGCUGGAUCGAGGUUGAUGGCAAUGCUUCAUCCACGAUCAGUCCCAUGUUAGGAGAUGGAGCGGUAUUGAGAGGAGUGGGAGCAACAGUGGGCUCGGGUUCUGGAGCUGCACUGCUGCUUCCUAAAGUUCGUCCCACCCCCUGAAAUGGAACCCGGGUCUUUUCUGAUUCCUGCAAGAAACUGAAAUAUUAGAAAAAGGAUAUGUG
This 19947-nucleotide long non-coding RNA is filed under the name Vitis vinifera (wine grape). Its description in RNAcentral is "long non-coding RNA (VVIN_LNC006876)". Lineage: Eukaryota; Viridiplantae; Streptophyta; Magnoliopsida; Vitales; Vitaceae. The record is from RNAcentral.